AUUGUAGAAAGGUCACUUUAUUAAAAUUAUAUAUUUUAAUCCUUAUAAGGUGACCUUUCUACAUUAUAAGGAUUUCUAGCUUUCAUUUUAUGUGAAAUUUAAACUAAGUUUCAAAACUUUGAAAAUAAAAUGAUAGAAAAAAAUUAUCAAAAAUUAUUUAAAUUACAAUAAUGAAAUGAUCUAUCAGCAAUCAUGUUGCAAAACUAGCUACCCUAAUUAAUUAGCAUGCUAAUACAGUAUUUCAAAAUGCAGAACUUUUACAAAAAAUUCUUGCCACAUAAUCAGACAUUUAGUUCAGAAACUUGUGAUAAGUUACUACUUAUUGCUCUAAUCUAUAUUUUUUAUAAUAUGCAUUACACAACAUAAUUGUGUAAUGCAUAUUACACAAUUAUGUUAUUAUUACACAAUUGUGUUCCACAUUAUAUUUUUAUUAAUUUUUCUUUCUCUGGUAUCCCACUCAUUACACUAGAAUGAUGACUAUACUGUCAAAAUUUGAAAAGUUAAAGACCUGACACCAAAAACAGUUUUGAUAGUGUUGUUCCAGCAAGAUGAAUGAUAUUUAGACACACAUAUGUCAUAUUGAUGACUCUAGCUGAGAAAUUGAAAAACCAUGAAUAAAUGUGUUUGGGAUCCAGAAACGAAAGAAGAAUAGUGCAAAAAAAUAACAGUUAAACUAUAUAUAUUAUUUAAUAACAUAGAGUUUUAUUGAUGUAUAUAAUAAUGAAAAUAAUUGCAAUAUAAAUUGAAGAUAAUAUACAUAAAAUAAAACUAGAGAAACUGUGACUAAAAAUCUAAUCUAAAUGGGGACUAUUAGUUUGUCUUAUGCGAGAUCUUUUUAACAUGAAACUAUGAGAGUUUCCUAGUCAUUUCUUUCUUCAUGCUUUCAUUAAGUUUUUUACUAUAUGAAAUCAGAGUAAAGACAAAAUACUGUAAACUCAUUGCUAAUAAUACAUAUUAUUUUUUCUUUGUCAGGAAAUUUUUGAUCCUUUCUGUGAUGUUACAUUGGAUAUUGUCUGUUGGAAGUAAGUUCUGUAUCAUUUGCAGGAAGUUGUUGUUCUUUCUGUUGCACUUUUUUCUGUUGUCAUUUUUCUGUCACUGAGAUUUUUUUUUUAUAGAGGAGACCUGAGUUCCAACAGUUGUUCUAAUUUAUAGGGUUUUGGGUUUUCCCCUCCCACUUUGUUUGAUAGAACAAUAUAAAGCUGGACCUUAAUUUCCAUUUUGUCUUGGAUCUUCAUUUCCAUUGCCUAAGAAUGUUGUGCUAUCCACUUCUCUCUCUCAUUGCAGAUUAUAGCAUCAUUGAAGCUGUUCUGACUUAACUGGGCCAUUAAUAAACAACAUUAAAACAGAAACUUGUUUAAUUAAAACUAGCUGGUUGAAGUAUCCUCUAAUUGUUUGACUCACAUUAAUUAUUGAACAGAACCUUAUGGCUCUUAUUAAAAACUUAUGUUUAUUUUAUUGUUAGGUGUCUAAUACUUUGGACUUCCCCAAUAUUCUAGUAAAACAAAUUAUUAAUGUGGAUUACAAAAAUCAUACAAAAUUUAUAUACUUUCCUAUGAGAAAAAGAGAUGAUAAAGUAUAUAAGAAAAUAUGUACAAAAAAAUGAUGAGUUAAAAAAAAUAACAGUAAAACUUGGUGGAUGAUGACUUGUCAACACCUAGUUAGACCUUAUAAUAGUACACAUUUUUUUGUAUUUUAAUUGUCUUAAUUAUAAAAAAAUUUUAAUUAAGAAAUAAAAUCUUUAUCAAAGAAGCACCACAUUCUCUCAACUUUUCUAUCUCACAAUUUAUAAAAAGGAAAACAAUUCUUCUAAUUUGAUUUUAACUAUUGAACACGGUUGCUAGAAAAUAUCAAAAAAUUUUCUAUCAUUAUACAACUCCAGAUAAUUAUUACUCAUGUUUAUCAAUGUUUAACAAAUUAAAAAAUAGGAAAUCAAAAAUUCAAAGGAAAUUUCACUACACUUUACAAAGCAGAAAUUUAGUCAGUAUAUAAUAAUCAUCAAAAGUGAAAAUAAUAACUUUAUUUUUGUUAAUAUUAAAUGAUCAGUACAUCAAAAAAUAAUUAGUACAUCAGUAAUUGAGAUAUUGGAGGACAGUCAUAUCUGUAUCACACAAAAUGCAUACCAAGCCAUCACCACCAAUGUUUUAUCUUUUAUAAUAAAUUAAUGCAUGCAUUAUUAGGUAUAAGAAACAAAAAAACAGCACAUUAUUCAAUAAUUAUUUUUACAUUUAAAAAACAAUGGAAAUUUAAUGUUAUGAAUUAUCUGUAAUGUGUACAUUAUUAUUGAAAAACUGUUCAGAUAAUUUCCAUAGUUUUUGAAAGUUUCGAAAUCUUAUAUAUUUGUAGUUAUCAAGGAAGGAUAUAUUUGAAUGAUAUUUGAGCUUUCGCAAUCAGUAACUGUGUCGCUCUUUCAUUGUUAGCCUGACUAUCGUUUUUAAAUAAAGAAAUAAUAGAAAUAACAGUUGGUGUAUUUUUAUUUUGCUGAUCUAAAAGCUAUGAGUGAAUAACAAGAUGACAUUCAAUUUUAUAUUUAUUAAAAAUAUAUCAAAACCUCAUUAGAUAUUAGAAUUAAUUACCUCUGUCUGAAAAUUUUAUGCAGUGGUGAAGCAAAUAAUGGGAAUAAAAAUAUUUGUGUAUCUAGAAAAACAUGACAAUUCUUUCAUUUCUAAUAUGGUGCCAAUUACAGAAAAGCAAUUUUUAUGCCUGAUAUUACAUAUCAUUUUUUAUCAUCAGAUAUAAGUCAAGUGAUUAUACAAGUACUUUGAUAAACAAAUUUGAAAAUAUUAAAC
Molecule: long non-coding RNA, 2786 nt
Filed under: Androctonus crassicauda
Lineage: Eukaryota; Metazoa; Arthropoda; Arachnida; Scorpiones; Buthidae
Source: RNAcentral